UAAUGGUUAAUACCCAUUAGAUUAGACGUUACCUGCAGAAUAAGCACCGGCUAACUCUGUGCCAGCAGCCGCGGUAAUACAGAGGGUGCGAGCGUUAAUCGGAAUUACUGGGCGUAAAGCGAGUGUAGGUGGCUCAUUAAGUCACAUGUGAAAUCCCCGGGCUUAACCUGGGAACUGCAUGUGAUACUGGUGGUGUUAGAAUAUGUGAGAGGGAAGUAGAAUUCCAGGUGUAGCGGUGAAAUGCGUAGAGAUCUGGAGGAAUACCGAUGGCGAAGGCAGCUUCCUGGCAUAAUAUUGACACUGAGAUUCGAAAGCGUGGGUAGCAAACAGGAUUAGAUACCCUGGUAGUCCACGCCGUAAACGAUGUCUACUAGCCGUUGGGGUCCUUGAGACUUUAGUGGCGCAGUUAACGCGAUAAGUAGACCGCCUGGGGAGUACGGCCGCAAGGUUAAAACUCAAAUGAAUUGACGGGGGCCCGCACAAG
Molecule: ribosomal RNA, 484 nt
Filed under: uncultured bacterium
Lineage: Bacteria
Description: bacterial SSU rRNA
Rfam family: Bacterial small subunit ribosomal RNA
Source: RNAcentral